AAGACGGGCCGGGUUACCGCUGGUAUAUACCAGAGGAAAGUCCGGGCUUCGCAGGGGAUGAUGCCGGGUAACACCCGGGCACUAUUUCGGUAACCGAAAUAGUGACAGCCAGUGCCGCAGAAAAAAUACCGCCAUUGAAAAAUGGUAAGGGUGAAAUGGCGAGGUAAGAGCUCACCGGGCCGACCGGUAACGGCGGCUGCAAGGUAAACCUCAUCAGGAGCAAGGUUAAGCAGCGGAUGGGUUCCCCGCCUGUUAUCCGCGGGUAAAUCGCUGAUGAUUUUUCCGGUAACGGGAAAACCAGAUAGAUGGUAACCGUAAACAGAACUCGGCUUACAGGCCCGUCUUUUUU
This 349-nucleotide RNase P RNA is filed under the name Spirochaetota bacterium. RNAcentral's name for it is "Spirochaetes bacterium RNase P RNA component class A". It matches the Rfam family "Bacterial RNase P class A". Rfam says of the family: Ribonuclease P (RNase P) is a ubiquitous endoribonuclease, found in archaea, bacteria and eukarya as well as chloroplasts and mitochondria. Its best characterised activity is the generation of mature 5'-ends of tRNAs by cleaving the 5'-leader elements of precursor-tRNAs. The record is from RNAcentral. Lineage: Bacteria; Pseudomonadati; Spirochaetota.